This 498-nucleotide ribosomal RNA is filed under the name uncultured bacterium. RNAcentral describes it as "SSU rRNA". It matches the Rfam family "Bacterial small subunit ribosomal RNA", at positions 26 to 521 of the family's 1533-position model. The record is from RNAcentral.
AGAUUGAACGCUGGCGGCAUGCCUUACACAUGCAAGUCGAACGGUAACGCGGGGGCAACCCUGGCGACGAGUGGCGAACGGGUGAGUAAUACAUCGGAACGUACCCAGUAGUGGGGGAUAGCUCGGCGAAAAGCCGGAUUAAUACCGCAUACGACCUAUGGGUGAAAGCGGGGGAUCGAAAGACCUCGCGCUAUUGGAGCGGCCGAUGUCGGAUUAGCUAGUUGGUGAGGUAAAGGCUCACCAAGGCUACGAUCCGUAGCUGGUCUGAGAGGACGACCAGCCACACUGGGACUGAGACACGGCCCAGACUCCUACGGGAGGCAGCAGUGGGGAAUUUUGGACAAUGGGCGAAAGCCUGAUCCAGCCAUGCCGCGUGUGUGAAGAAGGCCUUCGGGUUGUAAGCACUUUGUUCGGAACGAACGCCAAGGUCGAAUAAACCUUGGUAAUGACGGUACCGGAAGAAUAAGCACCGGCUAACUACGCGCCAGCAGCCGCGGU